Molecule: ribosomal RNA, 448 nt
Filed under: uncultured bacterium
Lineage: Bacteria
Description: bacterial SSU rRNA
Rfam family: Bacterial small subunit ribosomal RNA
Source: RNAcentral
UUUCCAGACUCCUACGGGAGGCAGCAGUGGGGAAUAUUGCACAAUGGGGGAAACCCUGAUGCAGCAACGCCGCGUGAGUGAAGAAGUCAUUCGUGCUGUAAAGCUCUAUCAGCAGGGAAGAAAAUGACGGUACCUGACUAAGAAGCCCCGGCUAACUACGUGCCAGCAGCCGCGGUAAUACGUAGGGGGCAAGCGUUAUCCGGAUUCACUGGGUGUAAAGGGAGCGUAGACGGCCAUGCAAGCCUGGAGUGAAAGCCCGGGGCCCAACCCCGGGACUGCUCUGGGAACUGUGCGGCUGGAGUGUCGGAGAGGCAGGCGGAAUUCCUAGUGUAGCGGUGAAAUGCGUAGAUAUUAGGAGGAACACCAGUGGCGAAGGCGGCCUGCUGGACGAUGACUGACGUUGAGGCUCGAAAGCGUGGGGAGCAAACAGGAUUAGAUACCCCAGUAC